GCAUCAGUGGUCUAACGGUUAUGAUGCGACCUUCCCAUGGCGUUGUAAUAUAUUUGUUUAGGUCGCGAACGGGGUUCGACUCCCCGCUGAUGCA
This is a non-coding RNA of Marasmius fiardii PR-910, 94 nucleotides long. NCBI's taxonomy places the organism in Eukaryota, Fungi, Basidiomycota, Agaricomycetes, Agaricales, Marasmiaceae. The record is from the annotation of a GenBank genome assembly.